RNAcentral lists this ribosomal RNA (449 nucleotides) under uncultured Escherichia sp. RNAcentral's name for it is "bacterial SSU rRNA". It matches the Rfam family "Bacterial small subunit ribosomal RNA", at positions 151 to 595 of the family's 1533-position model. Lineage: Bacteria; Pseudomonadati; Pseudomonadota; Gammaproteobacteria; Enterobacterales; Enterobacteriaceae. The record is from RNAcentral.
UGGAAACGGUAGCUAAUACCGCAUAACGUCGCAAGACCAAAGAGGGGGACCUUCGGGCCUCUUGCCAUCGGAUGUGCCCAGAUGGGAUUAGCUAGUAGGUGGGGUAACGGCUCACCUAGGCGACGAUCCCUAGCUGGUCUGAGAGGAUGACCAGCCACACUGGAACUGAGACACGGUCCAGACUCCUACGGGAGGCAGCAGUGGGGAAUAUUGCACAAUGGGCGCAAGCCUGAUGCAGCCAUGCCGCGUGUAUGAAGAAGGCCUUCGGGUUGUAAAGUACUUUCAGCGGGGAGGAAGGGAGUAAAGUUAAUACCUUUGCUCAUUGACGUUACCCGCAGAAGAAGCACCGGCUAACUCCGUGCCAGCAGCCGCGGUAAUACGGAGGGUGCAAGCGUUAAUCGGAAUUACUGGGCGUAAAGCGCACGCAGGCGGUUUGUUAAGUCAGAUGU